CCCUCCAGUGUUUAUCAAUGGUCAGGAAAAUGCAGAGGAGGAGGAUAUGGAUAACAAUGAUGAUCUUGCUAGAGAUGCCAUUGAAAGUGAUGACAAGGAAGAACAGGCACCAGCAGAACUGCCUCCCAAAACAUCAAAAUUUAUAGCAUCAGUGCCCCUGUGAUGGUUGAGGUGGAGGGUGAGGCUGACCCACUUGAGAUUGCUAUGAAAGAGCUUCGUGAAAGGAAGAUACUCUUUACCAUCCGCCACUACCUCCCCUGAUAGAAGCCCUGAUGACAGAUUGUAGCCAUCCAUCAAAAAGUUCUCACACACCAAAGUUUGAUUUCGUGUGUAAUGAAAAUUAUGCUAUGUAAUGUGUUAUGAAAUCAACGAUAUUCUUAUGUACACAAACAAUUAAUUUUCUAAACAAU
Molecule: long non-coding RNA, 410 nt
Organism: Rosa chinensis
Lineage: Eukaryota; Viridiplantae; Streptophyta; Magnoliopsida; Rosales; Rosaceae
Exons: 4
Source: RefSeq, a predicted model, not a curated record